Molecule: ribosomal RNA, 440 nt
Filed under: uncultured bacterium
Lineage: Bacteria
Description: partial 16S ribosomal RNA
Rfam family: Bacterial small subunit ribosomal RNA
Source: RNAcentral
CCUACGGGUGGCAGCAGUGGGGAAUAUUGCACAAUGGGGGAAACCCUGAUGCAGCGACGCCGCGUGGGCGAAGAAGGAUUUCGGUAUGUAAAGCUCUCUCAGCAGGGAAGAAAAUGACGGUACCUGAGUAAAAAGCUCCGGCUAAAUACGUGCCAGCAGCCGCGGUAAUACGUAGGGAGCAAGCGUUAUCCGGAUUUACUGGGCGUAAAGGGAGCGUAGGCGGCCUGCCAAGUCUGAUGUGAAAUACCGGGGCUCAACCCCGGGGCUGCAUUGGAAACUGGCAGGCUGGAGUGCAGGAGAGGUAGGUGGAAUUCUUGGUGUAGGGGUAAAAUGCGUAGAGAUCAAGAGGAACACUCAUGGCGAAGGCGACUUGCUAGAACAUAACUGACGCUGAGGCGCGAAAGCGUGGGGAGCAAACAGGAUUAGAUACCCCGGUAGUC